Harmonia axyridis is the source of this 1510-nucleotide long non-coding RNA. RefSeq lists it as uncharacterized. NCBI's taxonomy places the organism in Eukaryota, Metazoa, Arthropoda, Insecta, Coleoptera, Coccinellidae. The transcript is spliced from 2 exons. The record is from RefSeq and is a predicted model, not a curated record.
AUUUUUAAACACCCAUCACCCAUCUGAAGAAAUUAUGACUGGGCGACAUGAGUAUUAUCGUGAAAAUAAUUUCAGUGAAGAUUUAGAAUAUUUAUUACGGAAGGAUUUCCAAUAAGAAAUUAUUAAACAAAGUCAGUUGAAAAAAUCCAUUCAUCCGUGAAAAUAUUAAAGUACACUUGAGAAUGAAUAUUUAUGGUUAGAUAAUAUAAACAAAAUCUCAGAUCAAAAUUUAAAAUCAACAUAGAAUAUCUUUCUUUUUCAGAUAAUGACUCAUUAAUAAUAAUUAGCCUUUGAUAUAUGGUUCAAAAACCCGUUAACGAGUAUAGAGUGCAAUGACCAAAAAUUUGUUAUUUUGAUUCGUUCUCAACUAGAGAUUUUCAAGUAUAAGAGCUUCUUUCAUCUACCUAUAUCAUCAAAUUUCCAGAAAUUUCCCACGAGUCCAGUAGACACCUAUCUUUGUAUAAUUUAGUUAACAUUAAUUCACCGAGCAAACGAAUAAAUUGAUAUUGUACUGACAAAAAUAAGCCAAAACAGAUUCGAAAUAGAGUUUAAAUUGAACAUAGAAUCAAAAGAAACGAAACCAAUAGAAAAAUUGAUUUGAUUCGCGUUUCGAAUAGCAAUUAGCACAAAUGAAUCAACUAGAAAAAGAAUAAUUCUAAUUACAUAAUUAACUUCAUAUAUAUAGAAUAAAAAAUAUCAUCGAAUAUAAUAGUUACGAAAUAUUUCGACCGUCCUUCGUUUCUAUUCAAUGAACGCGAAGUAGGCAGGUGAGAACGCUAACCUUAAAAAAUGACCAAGCUGCUAGUUAACCGGAAACAUGCAGAAUUUCACCAACAGGUUACAAGAUUCGAAAUUAUACAAAGCUUGAGACCGAAGUUAAGAAAAUCAAUAAACAAAUAGCAAUGCUCAUGUACACAGAAACUAUAACCGACACGUGCUAUUUAUCGAUCCUAAAAUGCUUUCAGAAUCGCACAAUUUAUUCAUCGCGUAACCAUUUUAGUCUCGUUAUUAAUUUUUCAACAUUAAAAUGAAAUAGUUCAUGCUGGUUGAGAAACUUUCACAUUACGAAUGCAAUUAUCGAAGACCACGAUCUCAGCAACCGGCAUAAAUUUUCCACAUAUAACAGAUUCAAAAAACAACCUUGAAAUGUUGAAUAAAAUACAUAAGAAUAUAACAAAAUAUUUGAAGACCAGUCUUAUUGAUAAUUUCAAGAGUUAUAUACCACGUUGGCUAUUCUAGCAGCUUCUACAUACUCUUCUGACAUAUUGCUUAGCUUUGCUUUGAUGCCGCCAAAAUGAAGCUGCUAUUUAUCUUCAAAUUUGAGCGCAAAAAUGACGAUUGAAUUGUAAAAAGGUACUCACUUUACUUGAGAUUCCUUAUCUGCCAUUGUUAGAAGAGUUUUGGAACUUUUUCAAUAGUAAUAUAUAAAAAACUGUUUAUUAGAUCAGGGAAGCGCGAAUGAACUCACUAAAGGCGGCAAGUGGCUGAUAGAGAGAGUGUAAAAGCGAAA